This 251-nucleotide ribosomal RNA is filed under the name uncultured prokaryote. RNAcentral describes it as "partial 16S rRNA". It matches the Rfam family "Bacterial small subunit ribosomal RNA", at positions 525 to 775 of the family's 1533-position model. The record is from RNAcentral.
ACGGAGGUGGCAAGUGUUACUCGGAAUAAUUGGGUGUAAAGGGCAAGUAGGCGGUUUAAUAAGUGAGGGGUGAAAUCUCCCGGCUCAAUCGGGAAACUGCCUUUCAAACUGUUAAACUUGAGGAUGGUAGAGGAAAGCGGAAUUUCCGGUGUAAGGGUGAAAUCUUUUGAUGUCAGGAAGAACAUCAACGGCGAAGGCAGCUUUCUGAGCCAUAUCUGACGCUGAAUUGCGAAAGCUAGGGGAUCAAACAG